Molecule: ribosomal RNA, 301 nt
Filed under: uncultured bacterium
Lineage: Bacteria
Description: partial 16S ribosomal RNA
Rfam family: Bacterial small subunit ribosomal RNA
Source: RNAcentral
CAGCAGCCGCGGUAAUACGAAGGGUGCAAGCGUUGCUCGGAAUUAUUGGGCGUAAAGGGUAGGUAGGUGGUGACAUUUGUCUGGGGUGAAAUCCCUGAGCUUAACUCAGGAAGUGCCUUGGAAACGGUGUCACUAGAGUACUGGAGAGGUUCGCAGAAUUCUUGGUGUAGCGGUGAAAUGCGUAGAGAUCAAGAGGAAUACCAGAGGCGAAGGCGGCGAACUGGACAGUUACUGACACUAAACUACGAAAGCGUGGGGAGCAAACAGGAUUAGAUACCCCAGUAGUCCCUGUCUCUUAUAC